ACAGCCUUCAGGGGCCAACUCGUCUAUGUCGCAAAAUAGUGAGAUAAUUUAAAGGUAGAGGUGAAAAGCCUACUGAGCCUGAUGAUAGCUGGUUGCCCAGCCAAAGAAUUUUAGUUCAACUUAAAAUUUACC
Perognathus longimembris pacificus (Pacific pocket mouse) is the source of this 132-nucleotide long non-coding RNA. RefSeq lists it as uncharacterized. NCBI's taxonomy places the organism in Eukaryota, Metazoa, Chordata, Mammalia, Rodentia, Heteromyidae. The record is from RefSeq and is a predicted model, not a curated record. The transcript is spliced from 3 exons.